UGCCAGCAGCCGCGGUAACACGAACUGUGCGAACGUUGUUCGGAAUCACUGGGCGUAAAGGGCGCGCAGGCUGCCUGUCAAGUCUCGCGUGAAAUCCCCCGGCUCAACUGGGGAACUGCGCGGGAAACUGGUGGGCUUGAGUUCGGGAGAGGGAAGCGGAAUUCCGGGUGUAGCGGUGAAAUGCGCAGAUAUCCGGAGGAACACCAGUGGCGAAGGCGGCUUCCUGGACCGACACUGACGCUGAGGCGCGAAAGCUAGGGUAGCAAACGGGAUUAGAUA
RNAcentral lists this ribosomal RNA (279 nucleotides) under uncultured bacterium. Its description in RNAcentral is "partial 16S ribosomal RNA". It matches the Rfam family "Bacterial small subunit ribosomal RNA", at positions 506 to 784 of the family's 1533-position model. The record is from RNAcentral.